This is a long non-coding RNA of Poecilia latipinna (sailfin molly), 449 nucleotides long. RefSeq lists it as uncharacterized. The transcript has 3 exons. NCBI's taxonomy places the organism in Eukaryota, Metazoa, Chordata, Actinopteri, Cyprinodontiformes, Poeciliidae. The record is from RefSeq and is a predicted model, not a curated record.
CUGAAAACAGAAAGACAACCAGACCAAACAAGAAGAACGUUUCACCAACUCCUGAAGGCAAAAAGUCAGGAGGAAAAGUUAAAUCAACAACAAAACCUGCAUCUAGAACAACCACCAGACCAAAAACAGACAAUGUUUCAAAACCCUCUGAAGGUCUGUGGCGUAUCGUCAUCGUCUCUGUGGGUUUAGCAGCUCUUUCACUAACUGUUGUGAGCGUCAACAUUUGGACCAGAACUAAAAUGUGAGGUAGAGAAAUGAAACAGUUUGAUAAUCUGCAGAAUGAAAAUACCUAGCUUUUGAUGAAUUGGUAUAAAACUCAGAAAAAGAUUAUUGAUUGAUAUUAAAAUUAGAUUAUUCUGUCUGUUCUCUUCCUAAAACCUGUUGGUGAUGAAAACUUUAACAUUAGAAGGUUUUGUAAGAUUUUAUUGUCACUAUUUGUAUUUUCAAAC